Molecule: ribosomal RNA, 327 nt
Filed under: uncultured eukaryote
Lineage: Eukaryota
Description: partial 18S ribosomal RNA
Rfam family: Eukaryotic small subunit ribosomal RNA
Source: RNAcentral
CCCUUAGAUGUUCUGGGCCGCACGCGCGCUACGCUGACGGAGGCAGCGAGCAUGUCCUUCGCCGAGAGGUGUGGGGAAUCUUGUGAGUCUCCGUCGUGCUGGGGAUAGAUGGUUGCAAUUGUCGAUCUUGAACGAGGAAUUCCUAGUAAGCGCGAGUCAUCAGCUCGCGCUGAUUACGUCCCUGCCCUUUGUACACACCGCCCGUCGCUGCCCGGAACUGAGCCGUUUCGAGAAGACUGAGGAUUGCUGACUUGAGGCCUUCACGGGCUUCUAGUCGGUGAAAAUCAAUUUAAUCGCAGCGGCUUGAACCGGGCAAAAGUCGUAACA